GUGGUAAUACCGGAUGCUCCGCUCCAUCGCAUGGUGGGGUGGGAAAUGCUUUUGCGGCAUGGGAUGGGGUCGCGUCCUAUCAGCUUGUUGGCGGGGUGAUGGCCCACCAAGGCGUUGACGGGUAGCCGGCCUGAGAGGGUGACCGGCCACAUUGGGACUGAGAUACGGCCCAGACUCCUACGGGAGGCAGCAGUGGGGAAUAUUGCACAAUGGGCGCAAGCCUGAUGCAGCGACGCCGCGUGCGGGAUGGAGGCCUUCGGGUUGUAAACCGCUUUUGUUCAAGGGCAAGGCACGGUUUCGGCCGUGUUGAGUGGAUUGUUCGAAUAAGCACCGGCUAACUACGUGCCAGCAGCCGCGGUAAUACGUAGGGUGCGAGCGUUAUCCGGAUUUAUUGGGCGUAAAGGGCUCGUAGGCGGUUCGUCGCGUCCGGUGUGAAAGUCCAUCGCCUAACGGUGGAUCUGCGCCGGGUACGGGCGGGCUGGAGUGCGGUAGGGGAGACUGGAAUUCCCGGUGUAACGGUGGAAUGUGUAGAUAUCGGAAAAGAACACCA
Molecule: ribosomal RNA, 550 nt
Filed under: Bifidobacterium animalis subsp. lactis
Lineage: Bacteria; Bacillati; Actinomycetota; Actinomycetes; Bifidobacteriales; Bifidobacteriaceae
Description: bacterial SSU rRNA
Rfam family: Bacterial small subunit ribosomal RNA
Source: RNAcentral